GAUUUUCAAUCCCAAAUGUUCAAUUUCAAAUCCACUCAUAAGCCCAAUGACCAAUUCAAAUUACUUUUUUUUCAAACCAAUCCACUACAACAAAAUUACAACCAUUUUUAAUACAUAGUUUUAAUUCCAUUUAUAACUAUACACAAUCUCAACAUAACAAUCAAUACAAUCCAAUAUUCCAUUAGCAUAUGAUUCACCACACCAGCUUCAUGAGUAACACUCCAAGCAUAUAAACUCUAAGAUUUUAUUAAAUUUCCAAAUGCACAUCUUUGCACCAAUACUAACAACAGCUCAACAUAUCCCACCUGCAUAAUUUGCAUAACAAAGUGAAACAAUGAUUCAGUUACAAAUAUUUCUAACUCAAAAAACCAUCCAAUCUACAAAGUUCAUGACAGAAAACCAACAUGUCUCAUUUACAUUUCAUAACCUACAGAACGCAAGCCUAUUUCCACCCUACAACUGAUAUAACAAGAUAACCGAACCAAUUCCAACUGGAUUAUCCAACUGAAAACAAAAUUAGUGAUAACCAACUAACACUCACUAACCGAAUUCAUUUUAAUUUCCUACCCCCCUAAACCCAACUUCACCCUGCAAGUUUGAUAACAGAGAUCAUCACCUCCUAACUGAUAACAAACUUCUAACAGAACUCCAUUCGAACCAACCUCAUAACCGAAUUCUCAACAAAUUUUGCUAACCUCCUAACAAACUUCUCAAGUUCACUCUCCAACAUUUUUUGAACUUGGCAAUAACAAACUCCUCUAAAGAACUCCAUUCGAACCAACCUCAUAACCGAAUUCUCAACAAAUUUUGCUAACCUCCUAACAAACUUCUCAAGUUCACUCUCCAACAUUUUUUGAACUUGGCAAUAACAAACUCCUCUAACUGACUGAACCAGAAUUCCUAACCGAGUUCAAAGACCCUCAAAGAACCUUGACAACUUCAACUUCUUCACUCUCUAAAUUCCAAAGAUUUCCAACCUCCAACCUCCCUAAACCACUGCUUCUAAAACUCCCUCAUAAUCAUCAUGCCUUCAACCUUGAACCGACAACACCAUCAUUCUGCAGAAAAAAACUUCUGAUUCACACUCAACUAAAAUCCAAAAAACCAACUUUCAAUUCACACAAGAACUACAAUCACCCUGAACCUCACAUUCAGACCUCCAUUUGAAUCUCUCCAACCUUUUCUUCAAUCACUAACAAACCACUCUCUCAACAACCUCAGAUUCACCCCUUCAAUCACGAAGAAAACCCUCUAUAACUUUCAUCCAAAGAACCUCCUCUGACUCAUUCAACAACUUCUUCAAACUCUAAGAACCACCCGGUGAAUCGGAACCCACACUCCCCUCAACAUUCAAUCACUAACAGAAAAAAGGGGGAAAUUGAGGCAUUACGGAGAAAUCAGAAGGAAAAGAGAAAGCUCUGGAAGAUUAAAGACCCUCAUCUGCAUUAAUUUGGAUUCACCAUAAACAUUUCAAUUGGAGACCUCUAUGCUUCGCCAUCUGUCAUCGUGAAUCCUCUAACGAACAAUUGGUGAAGAGAUCGAUUCACUGCUUCAACCUUCAUCUUACAAUGCUUCAGUCCUAGUCUUCAAUAACACGGUGCAAGUCAGAAUCGGACAACAACAACAACGCAGCGACGGUGAUACGAAUUGAAGAAUCGAGACUGAGAUUUACGUUGAGUUCACGUUGACUCACGCGUCCACCGAAGGAGAUCCAACACAUAUAGUGAGUCGUUCUUUUUCCAUGUUUGAAUGAAGCGUUUUCUUCUUUCUCGUUUGAACGCGAAGCCAAAUCGUGAUGAAUGUUCAGGUUUCAAAUCCGUUUGUUGAAGUUUUGGAGAAUUGGGCUUUUUGUGCUCAAAGGGGUUUCAUGGCCCAAGUGUAUUUCUUGAUCCAUACCCGCUGCACCUGGUCACACCCUAUAACAUAUGUUCAUGAUUUAAUCUCGCUAAUCC
This 1952-nucleotide long non-coding RNA is filed under the name Lathyrus oleraceus (garden pea). Its description in RNAcentral is "Pisum sativum (pea) long non-coding RNA (PSAT_LNC001300)". The record is from RNAcentral. Lineage: Eukaryota; Viridiplantae; Streptophyta; Magnoliopsida; Fabales; Fabaceae.